Long non-coding RNA from Polyodon spathula (Mississippi paddlefish), 1294 nucleotides. RefSeq lists it as uncharacterized. The record is from RefSeq and is a predicted model, not a curated record. The transcript has 3 exons. NCBI's taxonomy places the organism in Eukaryota, Metazoa, Chordata, Actinopteri, Acipenseriformes, Polyodontidae.
AUAAAUAAAUAAAUAAAUAAAAUACAAGUGCUCGGUGGAAGUAAGCUAACUUUUCCAAAGUUGUGGUAAUAACCUACGUAUAUCAAAUAUGCCAUCAAAACACAAGUCGGGUAGUUCAAAGCCAAAAGAACAGAAAAGACAGCUAGAAAUUUCCCCAAAAGAAGCAACAGAAGAUGGUGCGCGGCAGCGGAACUGCCAACCUCCUCUUCGCACGAAAAAUAAACAGUUGAGCCAGAGAAAAGACGUGAAUCGGAGACGUCGGAUUGGAAAUGUACAACAACAGCAAAUACAAGGGAGGAGGCUGGGAAUGUUGGGAGUGAGCGUGAGCCGGAGUCUGCAGAGACCAGGGAGCCGCCGAAAGGGAUGGAGCCGCCGACACCACAGCCGAGGCUGAAGAGACUCAGCCACGUCCAUGGCGCCCUGUGCCAGCUUUGUGAGGGCAGGAGUGACCAGACGGAGCCAUUUGAUCUACCUUGAGCUCUCCUGCUGGUUGAUUGUACAGGGAUACGAUGUAUAAUUUUAUUCAAUGCAGGCCACUCACGGUGUAUAAUGUUAUUCAAAGCAGGCCACUCACGAUGUAUAAUGUUAUUCAAUGCAGGCCACUCACGAUGAAUAAUGUUAUCCAAUGCAGGACACUCACAGUGUAUAAUGUUACCCUAUCCAGGACACUCACAGCGUAAUAAUAAUAAUAUAUUCAACAACAGACCACUCGCACAUUAAUACUGUAAAGUGCAUGGGGUCAGGGUUGUAGGUGACACAGGACAGAAGCCUGAUACGUUCCUAGCAAAAGGGCAGUGGUUAUCGUGUUUCAAUGCGGAAGUUGCAGGGUUCGAACCCAGCCUCACCUCACCUACGGGAACCCGUGGUCGACACAAUAUAAAUUGCAAGGCACUCGCACAGUAAUAAUAUGUGUAUACAGGACACUCACAUAGUGUAGAAAUUACUAGGAAAUUUAAAUGGAAAUUAAAUAUUAAUGACCCAGCAAAAUACCACCUUUGCUAUCUCAAAUAUCUUCUUAUGAACCGAUUUAAAUCUUGAAUUGAAAUUGACUAAUUAAAAUAGGCUACAAUAAAACAGUUCACAAUGUUCGACACACUGAUAACAGCCGGUUUCUACACAGUGUCCUAGGACACCACAGGCCACUCAGACACUGGCUUUAGUGUCCCAGCACUCGGGACUCAAAUUGUUUCAACCCCUACUGAAAAAGCUACUACAAGUCCUGCUGAACAGAACGUAAAAUAAAUAGCUUUCAGAAACCAAACGACAAAAAGUAUUCCUGUCGGCAAAUUAAAUC